UACGAAGGGGGCUAGCGUUUUUCGGAAUCACUGGGCGUAAAGCGCACGUAGGCGGAUCGUUAAGUCGGGGGUGAAAUCCCAGAGCUCAACUCUGGAACUGCCUUCGAUACUGGCGAUCUUCGAGUCCGGGAGAGGUGAGUGGAACUCCGAGUGUAGAGGUGAAAUUCGUAGAUAUUCGGAAGAACACCAGUGGCGAAGGCGGCUCACUGGCCCGGUACUGACGCUGAGGUGCGAAAGCGUGGGGAGCAAACAGG
This 254-nucleotide ribosomal RNA is filed under the name uncultured bacterium. Its description in RNAcentral is "partial 16S ribosomal RNA". It matches the Rfam family "Bacterial small subunit ribosomal RNA", at positions 524 to 776 of the family's 1533-position model. The record is from RNAcentral.